RNAcentral lists this RNase P RNA (275 nucleotides) under Candidatus Bipolaricaulota bacterium. RNAcentral's name for it is "partial RNase P RNA component class A". It matches the Rfam family "Bacterial RNase P class A", at positions 118 to 367 of the family's 367-position model. From Rfam's summary of the family: Ribonuclease P (RNase P) is a ubiquitous endoribonuclease, found in archaea, bacteria and eukarya as well as chloroplasts and mitochondria. The record is from RNAcentral. Lineage: Bacteria; Candidatus Bipolaricaulota.
AGUUCAUAGGUCAGUUACUCGUGAAAAAUCGGGCUAUAAAUAAACAACUACAAUGCCACCUAACGGCUGAGCUAAGCCGCCACACGGCUGCCGCAGUGAAACGGUGGGGUAAGAGCCCACCGCCGGGGCCGUGAGGCCCCCGGGCACGGCAAACCCCGGCCGGAGCAAGGCCAAAUAGGGGGGCGGUUGAGGGUGGCCCGCCCGAUGCCCCCGGGUAGGCCGCAUAGAUGGAUGGCUCCCUAAAACAGAAUCCGGCCUAUGGCCCUCUCCCCCGU